This 2659-nucleotide long non-coding RNA is filed under the name Nicotiana benthamiana. Its description in RNAcentral is "long non-coding RNA (NBEN_LNC039552)". Lineage: Eukaryota; Viridiplantae; Streptophyta; Magnoliopsida; Solanales; Solanaceae. The record is from RNAcentral.
GACAGGGUCGUCUUUAUCGUACAAUCCCUCUCCAUCGUCUUCGCUGGAGCCCUACCACCGGGAAACACAAAGUAUGCCAAUGGCCACCAAAAUAACACCGUAGGUCCUCCAUAACCUCCUCUCCCCUUUCCCCUAAGUGGUUUCCUUCGAAUCUGCCCGGAAAGUCUCAAAUAUCAGUUUGAAGAUUUUCCGGCCAAGUUGACAUUUGGUCCAAAUCGGCCCAAAAUCGUACCAUGCAAUCUCCCUGACCUCCUCUACCUGAAUCCCAACCCAAAACCCCUCAAAUCCGCCUUCAAAGCUUCAUGUAUGGAUUUCAGGAUUCUAAAAAGAUAUGAGAGUCUCAUUGGAGGACCGUCCGGGGUCGAUUCGAGUUCCUAAGUAGCCUCAUACGGUUAUUCCCUAAAGAACAGACGUGUAAGGUUAUUUGGUUGCCCAAUUCGAAUUCAUUAUGAUUCAAUUAUUCAAGCAGUGAGUUUUCUUUAGAAUUUCUUUAGUUCUGUUUUUCUAUGAGUGCAUCUGUGACGCAAUCGUUUAGUUUUACUUCCAUUUUGGUUUGAGACUUGGGUCGUUUAAAUUUCAGAUUUGUUUGUCGUGUUGAUUGAUACUUAUUAGUUUGAUUUUGUCUUGGCCAGUUUAAUUGUUUAAUGUUAGCCAAAUUACAAUAAGUUUAGAUUAUCAGUUUAGUUGAAAUUUCUUUAUUUUAACAUUGAUUCAGUUUGGUUUUAAUUUGGUUUUAGUUUAUUUUUACUUUAGUGCUCAUUUGCAAUUUAGUUAGGCUUAAGUUUGGUUGUAGCUGUUAUACAACUCUAAUGAUUAAGAGUCUAAUAAUUUGGGAGGUUAACAAAGGUAAAUUGAACAAAGGUCAAAGGGGAAUGGGUUGUAGUAAUUUCAUAUGGUUAGAAGAGCAGUUUGGGCAUGAGAAAAGGGUAGGAUUUUGAAGAACAGUAAUAAUAAAACAAAGGUGAGGGUAUUUUAGGAAUUGUGUAGCCAAAAAAGCAUUUUAGAAGCUCCUGGAAUGGGACUAUAGUGUAGAUUUCAAUAAAACUAGGGCAGUAACUUGGGAAACAAGUUAAAAACUGAUGGACCAAAGCUGUAAAUAAAAUAGGGACUUAAGUGAAAACAGAUAUUUUAGGGCUGCCCCUUACUUUGCCUAUAGGAAUGGCAUUCCCAUGACUUCACACUCAAGCUUGUAGCCUCACAAAAUCCCCUGCCUUUCUCUCAAAGUUUCAGAGCUGAAAAUUUAACAUCAAAACUUCAAAUAUUCAAAAGAAAAAAUCAAAAAAAAAAAUCAAAAAACUUCAAAACAUAAAAAUAGCAAUGUUCAGUGAAAAUUUCAAUUUAAUUUCAAAUUUUGGCAGUCCAAAAAUACCCCCAAGCUUCGAGAUCCAAAAUUCAGAUCCGAAAUUCCCUUAGUUUUAGCUUUCUUCAUACAGAAAACCAAAAAUAUUAGAAGCUUUUUUCAAAAAAAAAACCAAAAGUCAUUGUUUCAUUGGAAAUUGUAGGUUAAUUUUGAUGUUCUAGUUGUUAAUUCACAUCUUUUAGUCCACUGUUUGAUUGCUGAUGUUCAGAAGGGUUGUUGGGUCGGUUCCAAGCAGUUUUGAGUCUAAUUAAAUUCGUACGGAUUAAGAUUUGGGGCUGUAGAGAGGUGCUGAUAGGUUGCUGGUUUGACAGAGUGCAUUUUUGGUUGUUUUGGUUCGAUUUAUUGAUUUAAUUUGAGUUCUCAACUCUCCUAGGACAUCUAAAAAUCAUUCUGGGAUGUGUCUCAAUUCCAACGGCUGUGUAUUUUGCUGUUUGAACAUCUCAUGGUCUACUGUUGUUCGAACUGCUGCUGACUUACUCUCCCCCUUUAUUAUUCUUCAAAUCUCCAGGUACAAUACUCGAACCUAACAUGGAACUGAAAGUUGAUUGGUUUGCAUGAAGCUGUUGGAAAUUCAAUAAAAUAUCUCAAGUUUUGAUAUUGUUGAAUACUUUUAGUAUACAUGAUUGUUUCAAUUCUAGGUUCACAUGAUUGUUUGUAGUUGUAGUUCUAAUGUGCGUUAGCAAUUUAAUUAGUUUAGGUUGUGAGAAGUAGAGAAUUGUCGAGUCAGGAAUCACUUAUUUCUGAUUUAAUUGUCACAUGUAUAAUUGUUCCAAAUCAGGAAUCACUUAUUUCUCACAUGUAUAAUUGUUCCAAAUUUGCUUCACUUAACAAUAUUAGUUUCAUGUUAGGGUGUGAAGGUCUAUUCGUAAAGGAAGUAUUAAAUUGUUUGGUUUGGGUGCAUAAAAAAAAUAGAAUUUCCAUAGUUGAGUUUUUUUUUCACCCUGAUGUCGGUUUGCUUUUCAUCUUAAUGGUAUUCAACAAUUCAGCAGAAGCAAGGAAUAGAAAAAUAAUCUAAGCUAGGAUUUGUAAUCCAAAGUAACCAGUGAUUAAUCAACAUAAAUAGGCGUGCAUCGUUUUUCCCUGCGUUAUAAGUGUACAGAAAUUUGAAGUAACUUUAAAGGAUAAUUGGUACACAUUAUCAUGGAGAUAUGGGCUGGGAUUUGCAUUUUUGCCUCUUUUUCUUUCGAUCUUUGAGAAAGAGACCUAUGUUUGAGGCCCGACUUCAAGCUGGACUCAUGCCAAACUGGGUUAGUGACUCAACUACAGUUAUUAGUGAAAUGGAAUGAAGAUAAUUACUUA